RNAcentral lists this ribosomal RNA (460 nucleotides) under uncultured bacterium. RNAcentral's name for it is "partial 16S ribosomal RNA". It matches the Rfam family "Bacterial small subunit ribosomal RNA", at positions 338 to 795 of the family's 1533-position model. The record is from RNAcentral.
CCUACGGGAGGCAGCAGUGAGGAAUAUUGGUCAAUGGACGAGAGUCUGAACCAGCCAAGUAGCGUGAAGGAUGACUGCCCUAUGGGUUGUAAACUUCUUUUAUAUGGGAAUAAAACGUUCCACGUGUGGGAUUUUGUAUGUACCAUAUGAAUAAGGAUCGGCUAACUCCGUGCCAGCAGCCGCGGUAAUACGGAGGAUCCGAGCGUUAUCCGGAUUUAUUGGGUUUAAAGGGAGCGUAGGUGGAUUGUUAAGUCAGUUGUGAAAGUUUGCGGCUCAACCGUAAAAUUGCAGUUGAUACUGGCAGUCUUGAGUACAGUAGAGGUGGGCGGAAUUCGUGGUGUAGCGGUGAAAUGCUUAGAUAUCACGAAGAACUCCGAUUGCGAAGGCAGUUCACUGGACUGCAACUGACACUGAGGCUCGAAAGUGUGGGUAUCAAACAGGAUUAGAUACCCCUGUAGUC